UGAGGAAUAUUGGGUCAAUGGACGGAAGUCUGAACCAGCCAAGUAGCGUGCAGGAUGACGGCCCUAUGGGUUGUAAACUGCUUUUAUGUGGGAAUAAAGUCAGGGACGUGUCCCCUGUUUGCAUGUACCACAGGAAUAAGGACCGGCUAAUUCCGUGCCAGCAGCCGCGGUAAUACGGAAGGUCCGGGCGUUAUCCGGAUUUAUUGGGUUUAAAGGGUGCGCAGGCGGCGCGCCAAGUCAGCGGUCAAAGUUCCGGGCUCAACCCGGUGUCGCCGUUGAAACUGGCGUGCUCGAGUGCGUGCGAGGAAGGCG
Molecule: ribosomal RNA, 312 nt
Filed under: uncultured Prevotella sp.
Lineage: Bacteria; Pseudomonadati; Bacteroidota; Bacteroidia; Bacteroidales; Prevotellaceae
Description: bacterial SSU rRNA
Rfam family: Bacterial small subunit ribosomal RNA
Source: RNAcentral